This 492-nucleotide ribosomal RNA is filed under the name uncultured bacterium. Its description in RNAcentral is "partial 16S ribosomal RNA". It matches the Rfam family "Bacterial small subunit ribosomal RNA", at positions 29 to 507 of the family's 1533-position model. The record is from RNAcentral.
AGCGAACGCUGGCGGUAGGCCUAACACAUGCAAGUCGAACGGCAGCACAGUAAGAGCUUGCUCUUACGGGUGGCGAGUGGCGGACGGGUGAGGAAUACAUCGGAAUCUACUUUUUCGUGGGGGAUAACGUAGGGAAACUUACGCUAAUACCGCAUACGAUCUACGGGUGAAAGCAGGGGAUCUUCGGACCUUGCGCGAUUGAAUGAGCCGAUGUCGGAUUAGCUAGUUGGCGGGGUAAAGGCCCACCAAGGCGGCGAUCCGUAGCUGGUCUGAGAGGAUGAUCAGCCACACUGGAACUGAGACACGGUCCAGACUCCUACGGGAGGCAGCAGUGGGGAAUAUUGGACAAUGGGCGCAAGCCUGAUCCAGCCAUACCGCGUGGGUGAAGAAGGCCUUCGGGUUGUAAAGCCCUUUUGUUGGGAAAGAAAAGCAGCAGGUUAAUACCCCGCUGUUCUGACGGUACCCAAAGAAUAAGCACCGGCUAACUUCGUG